AGAGUUUGAUCACUGGCUCAGGACGAACGCUGGCGGCGUGCCUAAUGCAUGCAAGUCGGGCGCAGGCGCUGGGAAACUGGCGCUUGAGCGGCGGACGGGUGAGGAACACGUGGGGGAUCGAUCCGGGGGAGGGGCAUAGCGGGCCGAAAGGCGCGGUAAUUCCGCGUACGCCGUCGCGCAGCAAGGCGCGACGGGAAAGGGAGGGCAACCUCGCGCCCCCGGCCGAACCCGCGGCCCAUUAGCUAGUUGGGAGGGGAAGGGCCUCCCAAGGCGACGAUGGGUAGCCGGCCUGAGAGGGUGACCGGCCACACUGGGACUGAGACACGGCCCAGACUCCUACGGGUGGCAGCAGCAGGGAAUCUUCCCCAAUGGGCGCAAGCCUGAGGGAGCAACGCCGCGUGAGUGAUGACGGCCUUCGGGUUGUAAAGCUCUGUCAGUCGGGACGAACGGCCGCCGGGAGGCGGCGCUGACGGUACCGACGGAGGAAGCCCCUGCUAACUACGUGCCAGCAGCCGCGGUAAGACGUAGGGGGCAAGCGUUGUCCGGAAUUACUGGGCGUAAAGGGCGUGUAGGCGGCGCGGUACGUGGGGCCCGAAAGCCCCCCGCUCAACGGGGGGAGGCGGUUCCAAACGGCCGGGCUGGAGGGCAGGAGAGGUGCGCGGAAUUCCCGGUGGAGCGGUGAAAUGCGUAGAGAUCGGGAAGAACACACGUGGCGAAGGCGGCGCACUGGCCUGGCCCUGACGCUGAGGCGCGAAAGCGUGGGGAGCGAACGGGAUUAGAUACCCCGGUAGUCCACGCCGUAAACGAUGGAUACUAGGUGUCGGCGGGGUCCACCCGGCGGUGCCGGAGCUAACGCACUAAGUAUCCCGCCUGGGGAGUACGGCCGCAAGGUUGAAACUCAAGGGAAUUGACGGGGGCCCGCACAAGCAGUGGAGCAUGUGGUUUAAUUCGACGCAACGCGCAGAGCCUUACCAGGCCUUGACGGUCGGCGCAACCCCGGGAAACCGGGGGGCCCUUCGGGGGACGCCGGCCCAGGUGCUGCAUGGUUGUCGUCAGCUCGUGUCGUGAGAUGUUGGGUUAAGUCCCGCAACGAGCGCAACCCUUGUGGUGUGUUGCCCUCGGGCCCUUCGGGGUGCCGGGCACUCACGCCAGACUGCCGGUGACAAACCGGAGGAAGGUGGGGAUGACGUCAAAUCCGCAUGGCCUUGAUGGCCUGGGCUACACACGUGCUACAAUGGCGCCGACAAUGGGCCGCGAACGCGCGAGCGGGAGCGAAUCUCAUCAAACGGCGUCGCAGUUCGGAUCGCAGGCUGCAACUCGCCUGCGUGAAGCCGGAAUUGCUAGUAAUCGCCCAUCAGCAUGGGGCGGUGAAUUCGUUCCCGGGCCUUGUACACACCGCCCGUCACACCACGAGAGUGGUCCACACCCGGAGCCGCUGCCGGAACCCGCAAGGGGCCGAGGCGUCGACGGUGGGGGGCGCGAUUGGGGUGAAGUCGUAACAAGGUAACC
This 1509-nucleotide ribosomal RNA is filed under the name uncultured Sulfobacillus sp. RNAcentral describes it as "bacterial SSU rRNA". It matches the Rfam family "Bacterial small subunit ribosomal RNA". Lineage: Bacteria; Bacillati; Bacillota; Clostridia; Eubacteriales; Clostridiales Family XVII. Incertae Sedis. The record is from RNAcentral.